Non-coding RNA from Tilletiopsis washingtonensis, 106 nucleotides. The record is from the annotation of a RefSeq genome assembly. Lineage: Eukaryota; Fungi; Basidiomycota; Exobasidiomycetes; Entylomatales.
GGCAACAUGGCCGAGCGGUUAAGGCGUUUGCCUCGAAUUAACUUCGAACCAGAUCUACUGGUAGCAAAUGGGAUUUCCCGCGCAGUUUCGAAUACUGCUGUUGUCG